UACGUAGGUGGCAAGCGUUAUCCGGAAUUAUUGGGCGUAAAGCGCUCGCAGGCGGUCCUUUAAGUCGGAUGUGAAAUCCCGGGGCUCAACCUCGAAAGGUCAUUGGAAACUGGGGGACUUGAGUACAGAAGAGGAGGGUGGAAUUUCGCGUGUAGCGGUGAAAUGCGUAGAGAUGUGGAGGAACACCAGUGGCGAAGGCGACUCUCUGGUCUGUAACUGACGCUGAGGAGCGAAAGCGUGGGGAGCGAACAGG
RNAcentral lists this unclassified non-coding RNA (253 nucleotides) under uncultured Bacillaceae bacterium. RNAcentral describes it as "contains 16S-23S intergenic spacer region". It matches the Rfam family "Bacterial small subunit ribosomal RNA", at positions 524 to 776 of the family's 1533-position model. The record is from RNAcentral. Lineage: Bacteria; Bacillati; Bacillota; Bacilli; Caryophanales; Bacillaceae.